GACGAACGCUGGCGGCGUGCCUAAUACAUGCAAGUAGAACGCAGUUGCGAACGGGUGAGUAACGCGUAGGUAACUGCCUCAUAGCGGGGGAUAAUCAUUGAAAACGAUAGCUAAUACCCCAUACUGUGAGAUGUACCUUCGUUGUAUUAGUUAGUUGGUGAGGCAAAUGUUCACCAAGGCGACGAUACAUAGCCGACCUGAGAGGGGUACCGGCCAAACUGGGACUGAGAAACGGGCCAGAAUCCUACGGGAGGCAGCAGGAGGGAAUCUUCGGAAAUGGACGGAAGUCUGAACGAGCAACUGCGGGGGAGAGAAGAAGGUUUUCGGAUCGUAAAGCUAUGUUGUUAGAGAAGCGGUAACUAAACAGAAAGGGACGGCUAACUACGUGCCAGCCGCCGCGGUAAUUC
Molecule: ribosomal RNA, 407 nt
Filed under: uncultured bacterium
Lineage: Bacteria
Description: partial 16S ribosomal RNA
Rfam family: Bacterial small subunit ribosomal RNA
Source: RNAcentral